GCACUGCGGGCGGUUGCGGGUUGAAUUUUCCCCAAAAUGCAUACAUGCGGGCGGGUCCAAACCGAACCGCAAACCGUCCAAAACUGAACCGCGGACACCCCUAAUGUGGAGGCACAUCUCUCGCCGCAGGAGGCAGCGCCAUAUUUUGGCCGUAAAGGACGACACAUGCAAAACAUACUCGCAGUGUGUGAUUUCGACUUAUCUUUUACUUUUAUAUCUUGCGGAUGGGAGGAUAGUAUGCACGACAACAGAGUUUUUAAUGAAGUAAAACAGGACUCAACCAAACAAUUCCUCAUGCCAGAAGAAGGAAAAUAUUACCUUGUUGAUGUGGGGUACAAGAACCAAAAGGCUUUUUGGCGCCGUUUAAGGGAUGCCGCUACCACCAGGGAGAGUUUCGCGCAACUGGACGGCCACAAAAUGCAAAUGAAGUUUUCAACAUGGUGCACUGCUCCUUACGGAGUGCAAUUGAACGUACUUUCGGAGUAUGGAAAGCGUGAUGGGGAUUCUUACAUAACAUGCCGCGACAUGAUUUUGGGAAAGUGUUGGUGCCAUUGGUCGGGGCUUCAAUGGCACUACAUAAUUUUAUACACCGCAACUCCAACGACGAUGAAGCGUUCAAUACGGUUGCGAAUGUAGAGAAUUUUACUUUCAACGACAUGCCAAAUGUUGCGGGUGUUGGUGACGACGAUGAUGGUGAACCAGAGGGCGAUAAUGACGUACAUAUAAACAAAGUGAGGAAAUCAAUACGGAAUGAAUUAAUGCGACAUCGGCAUGAACUUGGGUUGUAAUCUUGUUCGGUUUGUACGAGUUGAUGGUAAACGAAAUGAAUGUGACAAACUGUUGAAAGCGUUAAAAAAAAUGUACGGUUAUGUUUGUAAA
Molecule: non-coding RNA, 879 nt
Organism: Camellia sinensis
Lineage: Eukaryota; Viridiplantae; Streptophyta; Magnoliopsida; Ericales; Theaceae
Source: RefSeq, a predicted model, not a curated record